CCUACGGGCGGCAGCAGUGGGGAAUAUUGCGCAAUGGGCGAAAGCCUGACGCAGCGACGCCGCGUGAGGGAUGAAGGUCUUCGGAUCGUAAACCUCUGUCAGCAGGGAAGAACGGUCACUGUGCUAAUCAGCAGUGAAUUGACGGUACCUGCAAAGGAAGCACCGGCUAACUCCGUGCCAGCAGCCGCGGUGAUACGGAGGGUGCGAGCGUUAAUCGGAAUUACUGGGCGUAAAGCGCUCGUGGGCGUUAUGUCAAGUCAAGGGUGAAAGCCCCGCGCUCAACGUGGGAACUGCCUUUGAAACUGGCAAACUGGAGUGUGUGAGAGGAUAGUGGAAUUCCAGGGGUAGGAGUGAAAUCCGUAGAUAUCUGGAGGAACAUCAGUGGCGAAGGCGACUAUCUGGCACAUAACUGACGCUGAGGAGCGAAAGCGUGGGUAGCAAACAGGAUUAGAUACCCGGGUAGUC
Molecule: ribosomal RNA, 465 nt
Filed under: uncultured bacterium
Lineage: Bacteria
Description: partial 16S ribosomal RNA
Rfam family: Bacterial small subunit ribosomal RNA
Source: RNAcentral